This 641-nucleotide long non-coding RNA is filed under the name Mytilus galloprovincialis (Mediterranean mussel). Lineage: Eukaryota; Metazoa; Mollusca; Bivalvia; Mytilida; Mytilidae. The record is from RNAcentral.
GUUUCCUAGUAUGUUUUUUUUUUCUCUCUUUGUAUGUUAUCAGGGGUUGUUAGACUAUUAAAUUACCCUGUUGUCCUACGUAGUUAUUUAUAUUUUUAUAUACUAUGUCGAAUUGUUACACUAUGUUGACUGCUCUUUUCCUUUUAUUGUCACUGACUUUUACCUAUUGUGUCUUUUAGUUUUAUUCAGUUUAAUGAGAUUUGAUGCAACUUGCAUACAAAUGAAAUAUGCAGCUAGCUGUAAAACUAGGUUUAUUCAUUUAUACAAAAUGUCCUUUUUUUUUUUUUUAAAGUUUUCCCAUUUACUGUAAAUCUUGGCCAGGGUGCCGCAAUAUCACUGUGCGCAACGUCCCAGUGUGUCCAGAUUGACACCCCUUUUAUUUUACUGUCAAUGCUGAUGGGAUUUGUUUGUGUGGGGAUGAGAGAAAAGUGUUUUUGGCUUUUUCAAAAAGACGGGAAAAGUUUGUGCACUUAAGUCUCGUAUAGUCUAUCCACUGCAUGCCUGGGCAAUUUGGGUUCCCCUCCAAAAUCCCGAAUUCACGCUACCCUUGUCGUUGCUGGCAGAAAAUCAGUAAGUGUAUACAUGCUACAUGUAUGUGUAAAAAAAUACUUGUGUAGUCUACUUGUUCAAAAAUAAAAACG